GACGAACCGUCCAAACGUUAUUCGGAAUCACUGGGCUUACAGAGUUCGUAGGCGAUCUGGAAAGUUGGGUGUGAAAUCCCUCGGCCUAACCGAGGAACUGCGCUUGAAACUACCAGACUCGAGGGAGAUAGAGGAAAGCGGAACUGAUGGUGGAGCGGUGAAAUGCGUUGAUAUCAUCAGGAACACCGGUGGCGAAGGCGGCUUUCUGGGUCUUACCUGACGCUGAGGAACGAAAGCCAGGGGAGCGAACGGG
RNAcentral lists this ribosomal RNA (253 nucleotides) under uncultured bacterium. RNAcentral's name for it is "partial 16S ribosomal RNA". It matches the Rfam family "Bacterial small subunit ribosomal RNA", at positions 524 to 776 of the family's 1533-position model. The record is from RNAcentral.